This is a transfer RNA of Ectocarpus siliculosus, 73 nucleotides long. It matches the Rfam family "tRNA". From Rfam's summary of the family: Transfer RNA (tRNA) molecules are approximately 80 nucleotides in length. Their secondary structure includes four short double-helical elements and three loops (D, anti-codon, and T loops). The record is from Rfam. Lineage: Eukaryota; Phaeophyceae; Ectocarpales; Ectocarpaceae.
GGAGCUGUGGUAUAAUGGUUAGAAUUGAUCCCUGUCACGGAUCAGAUCCGGGGUUCAAUUCCCGGCAGCUUCG